This 253-nucleotide ribosomal RNA is filed under the name uncultured bacterium. Its description in RNAcentral is "partial 16S ribosomal RNA". It matches the Rfam family "Bacterial small subunit ribosomal RNA", at positions 524 to 776 of the family's 1533-position model. The record is from RNAcentral.
UACAGAGGGGGCAAGCGUUGCUCGGAAUUACUGGGCGUAAAGGGCGCGUAGGCGGCCUUCUAAGUCGAAGGUGAAAUCCCCGGGCUCAACCCCGGAACUGCGUCCGAUACUGGAAGGCUUGAAUCCGGGAGAGGGAUGCGGAAUUCCAGGUGUAGCGGUGAAAUGCGUAGAUAUCUGGAGGAACACCGGUGGCGAAGGCGGCAUCCUGGACCGGCAUUGACGCUGAGGCGCGAAAGCCAGGGGAGCAAGCGGG